This is a long non-coding RNA of Daphnia pulicaria, 298 nucleotides long. RefSeq lists it as uncharacterized. Lineage: Eukaryota; Metazoa; Arthropoda; Branchiopoda; Diplostraca; Daphniidae. The record is from RefSeq and is a predicted model, not a curated record. The transcript has 3 exons.
GAAGAUCUUUUGCCUUUCUCCACGUGAUCGCUGCCGUGUCAUGAAGAUGCUUCUUUGAGAGGGUCUCUACUAUAUUGCAAGACAAAAAUGUGAUGAGAACAGGAAAUCUGAGUUGGUUAUAAUUUACUUUUAAUAAGAUAAAUCAAGUAGAGUUCAAGCUGCAGACGUGCCGGCCAGUUUGCAUGUCCUUCACGCUUGAAGGUCACGGUGAACAUAACGUGUAAAACUGUCAAUGCCGUGGUGUAGAGGUUGGGUGAGAAAGACCCAUCCCCAGCAACGCCAACCUAAAGAAGGAAAG